This 425-nucleotide ribosomal RNA is filed under the name uncultured bacterium. RNAcentral's name for it is "partial 16S ribosomal RNA". It matches the Rfam family "Bacterial small subunit ribosomal RNA", at positions 354 to 796 of the family's 1533-position model. The record is from RNAcentral.
GUGGGGAAUAUUGGACAAUGGGCGCAAGCCUGAUCCAGCCAUGCCGCGUGAGUGAUGAAGGCCUUAGGGUUGUAAAGCUCUUUCAGUGGGGACGAUAAUGACGGUACCCACAGAAGAAGCCCCGGCUAACUUCGUGCCAGCAGCCGCGGUAAUACGAAGGGGGCUAGCGUUGUUCGGAUUUACUGGGCGUAAAGCGCACGUAGGCGGAUCGUUAAGUCGGGGGUGAAAUCCUGGAGCUCAACUCCAGAACUGCCUUCGAUACUGGCGCGCGUGAGUCCGGAAGAGGUGAGUGGAACUCCUAGUGUAGAGGUGGAAUUCGUAGGUAUUAGGAAGAACACCAGUGGCGAAGGCGGCUCACUGGUCCGGUACUGACGCUGAGGUGCGAAAGCGUGGGGAGCAAACAGGAUUAGAUACCCGAGUAGUCC